This 469-nucleotide ribosomal RNA is filed under the name uncultured bacterium. Its description in RNAcentral is "partial 16S ribosomal RNA". It matches the Rfam family "Bacterial small subunit ribosomal RNA", at positions 28 to 507 of the family's 1533-position model. The record is from RNAcentral.
GACGAACGCUGGCGGCGUGCUUAACACAUGCAAGUCGAACGGAAAGGCCCUGCUUGCAGGGUGCUCGAGUGGCGAACGGGUGAGUAACACGUGGGUGAUCUGCCCCUUACUUUGGGAUAAGCCUGGGAAACUGGGUCUAAUACUGGAUAGGACCAUGCUGUAGGUGGUGUGGUGGAAAGAUUAGUUUCGGUAAGGGAUGGGCUCGCGGCCUAUCAGCUUGUUGGUGGGGUAAUGGCCUACCAAGGCGUCGACGGGUAGCCGGCCUGAGAGGGUGGACGGCCACAUUGGGACUGAGAUACGGCCCAGACUCCUACGGGAGGCAGCAGAGGGGAAUAUUGCACAAUGGGCGCAAGCCUGAUGCAGCGACGCCGCGUGGGGGAUGACGGCCUUCGGGUUGUAAACUCCUUUCAGCCAUGACGAAGCCCUUGUGGUGACGGUAGUGGUAGAAGAAGCACCGGCUAACUACGUG